AAUGUGACAACUUUCUGGUCAAAUCUAGAGAAAUUGUUUGUCUCCUUAUAACCCUUCUUACCCUUUCCAGAAACAGAAGGAGCCACUCAACUCCAUAUCAAAAUUUUCAUAGAUUCUGCAGAAGUUUAAGGGUAAGGGAGGUGACAGAAGAGAGUGAGCACAGAUGGUAUUUUCUUGCAAGAUAACGAUUUAUGCUUGAAGCUAUGCGUGCUUACUCUCUAUCUGUCACCCCACCACCAUCUCCACCCUUUUCAUUUUCUAUUUAUAAAUUGCUUCUUUGUUUAUUUGUUUUCUAGCUUUCCCUUUUGUUGGUUACUCUAACCUAAGUUGCAGCAAUUAGGAUCUCACUAUCAGCCAAAUAAUAUCUGCAUAACAUCGAUCUGAUACAUAUUACAGGUAUAUGCGUUUCUCAGAUUGUUCUUAAUUAGUUCUUGCUUCUGAGCAUGCUGACCUGCAGCACCUAUAGCUACUUCAUCAAAAGCUUAUUUAACACCUGUCUCCGAGGCAGGCAUGUGCUAGGAUACAGAAUCUAUUUGAACAAUUAUUGUUAUCUAAAUUGCUUGAUCAAUGUUGUUAUUCUCAGUCAAUAUACUUUAUGAUGAAUAAGAGACGGAGUAAUGAUGAUUAAUUAAUUAAAAGCAUCUGAAAAACCUAGCUCGCCUUUUGAUUCAAUUCAAUUCAGACACUCAAAAAAUCGUGGUUUUUCUUUGAUGACAUUGGUUUGGGUAUAUAUCCAUCUUUAACGGAAGAUAAAUCUCAAGUCGGUAAAUCUGGAAAAAAUAUUUAUAUAUCUCUUAUUCUUAGGGUUUUUAGAUUUUCAAGGUUAAGAAAACUGAUCCACAAAUUAACUGGUUUUCUGUAAUUCAUUCUCCUUCAGAACAGAUUGCAUUCUGAUCACGAGUUUUAAUUAUUUUUUUGUAGCUCAGCCAAUGUUUUGGAUCUUGAACAGAUGCUGGAAUUAAGAAAAUAUAACGGACUUGGAAACAAGCUAGAGUGGGAGGAGUUUCUUUCUGAUGUAUAUAUAUCUACUGAUUUUCUAUCACAUUAGCUUUAAUAUGAUUUAUCAAAGUAGGAGGAAAAUGUAAUUUGAUGUAAGAGAAGGGACAUCCUUUGUACUCCCAUUAAUAAAAUUUUCUUUUGUUAAUAAAAACAAAACAGCCAUGCUGGUGUUCUUUCUAUGCACUGAGAAUAUAUGGGGAGGAAAUUCCCUUUUAUUUUUUGCCCUUGUGAAAGGAAAUAGAAAUUUAACACUAUAUAUUGUUUUGUCUUCUUUCUAUGCAAUCUAGGGUUUGCUAAAAUUUAAGCUUCACACUUUCAGGUUGUGACAAUCUUGCUGGUAUACUAUGGAUAACGGUGCAAACAAUGAUGUAUUUGUAGCUAGAAAGGGAAGAAAGAGGCUGGUCCAUGCAUUGCUUGAUUUUCAAAGAAAUGAGUGAUGAUGGCAUGAAUGUGUAAAUGUUUUUGUCUAUAUUUGUUGCAGUCGUUCAAAUUAAAUUGGCAUCAGAUUGAUACCAGUUAUGAAGGAAAUUUUGGGAUCACUAUACGGAUACUUAUUGAGUAUCCAACAAAAUUUGGAUCAAUUUGAGAUGAAAUAUUUUUAGUUGACUACCUUAAAGGCUCAAAUUCUUGAACUUCAUGGAAACCCUUUGUUAAACUAAACGAGUUUCAUCAACUAAUUUACGCACUCGAUCAUCAAUUGUGUAAGAUCAGUGAUAUGAUUGAUUGAAAGUGAAAAGGUAGAACAAGC
Molecule: long non-coding RNA, 1747 nt
Filed under: Phaseolus vulgaris (common bean)
Lineage: Eukaryota; Viridiplantae; Streptophyta; Magnoliopsida; Fabales; Fabaceae
Description: long non-coding RNA (PVUL_LNC001097)
Rfam family: mir-156 microRNA precursor family (bases 141-229)
Source: RNAcentral